ACCUGGCAGCCAAAAAUCCCCCUUUUUCCCAAUCCUUUUCUUCGGGCAAAGGCUUAAGGUUAGGUGCAUCGUCAUCUAAGAAACUGUAGAAUCCAAUACACCCGGUGCAAGCUGCGCGGGUCGCAAUCUAUCACAAUCCGUUCCUUUUGCACUACAAUCACAAGGGGAGUUCAAGAGGAGCAGGAGAGUUGUGCCGGAGUGUUUUUUUUUUCCUUGUUUCUUUCUUCUUGGUCGCUUGGUCUCGAUGCAAUGUUAUGUCUUCGAGCGCUAUGGCAAGCGGAAGAAUCUGGGUUAGGCUACGUGAGUGUUGAGAUUCUCUUUUGCUCUGUAAGGAAGUGUGUGCACAACGGAGGCAGGGCGUGCUUUUAUCGAUAAGGGCAGGAGGAUGGCAGAGUUGUUAGGGGUGCAAUUGUAGGCAAGGUCAUCCUCCAACUGGUGAGAUCCAGGGAAAGGCCUGAGAAUGCCGGCAAGCAAGUCGCGAGGACGGCGCAAGCUGGGACAUACCCUCAGACCCCUCAAUCUGAUAUUAGACUCUUCCCAACUUAAAUUCAUCCAGGGUUUACGCAUCGAAGUGUUAGACACGGCACCCACAACGCUCUGCUGUGUAAUCGGGCGUACCCUUACCUGGGAUCUUGUAGAGUUCCAGAAGAAGAUCUCUCUAACCACCACUAGGUGCCAGGAAAGCGAUGAACAGCGGAUAUGGGCAGCCACAAGCUUCCUGACACAAAUCCGGGGCUCCUCAUGCCACUUUCUAAUUCCCAAACUUACUCCCUCUCUUCUCACCGCUUUUGAUCUUGACUUCCAUCUUGUGGUCUUGUCCUCUUGAAAACAACUCCGAGAGCUCACCUUUAUUUCCAUUGGCAGUUGUUAUCUCAGAUUCCCUGCAUUAUUCAGCACAUGCCAUAUCCCUCAACGAUGGCCAAAGGCGAGAUUGCCGUGGUGGAGCCCCCGCCCAUUGUCUUUAGCUACUCAUUUAAACUCGGCGAGCGCGCAACCAGCGAUGUGAUUGUCAGGCUACGUACUGUCCACGGCCGUGACGACUGGUUCUAUGCACACUCUGAGAUUCUCUGUGCCAAAAGCAAGUACUUCGCAUCACGCCUCUCAGAUGAGUGGCCCACGUAUCAUCUCCUCGACUCCCGCAACUGUGUUGAAGUAAUUUGCAUCGAGUCUGACAUUGACCACCAUGUGAAACUCCUGCGCAUGUUGUACUCCAACCUCGAGGAGCCCGUCGGGGACAUGUGGCACAGCGUGAAGAAUGCGCUCGGCAUGCUGAAAGUGGCCACCAAGCUUGGGUGCGAUGCCAUAGCUUCCAAAUGUGCUUGCUACUUGGAGGCGGUGCCUUGGGAGGAGAAUGAGGAGGAAGAGAUUCUCAAAACAUUGCCAGCAAUUGUUAGCUCAACUCACAAACUUGUUGCGGAGCUUGGAGCUGAAAUCCAACCCGUCCUCGCCAGAUUGCAGCCCGUAGAUGCGGUAUCCAUUCGCAAUGUCUUUAUCUCUGCUGUGCACAUGGCCACAUCGUCCAAGAGCAAAACCUCCGACACAUUGUCCACGCUCCCGAGUGAUCUCAAAGCAGCAGCUCAAGAACAAGUUGAGUACAUGUUAGAGGAAGACGACGACGCGCCGCUGCUGAUCGCGGAUGAUGACCUCAAAUCUGCACUCAGGGUGAAAUUUCUGAACCUUUUCGGGAGUUUCAAAACCGAGUUGAUCGUUCUCACGGAUUCAACCCGUCAAUUCUCUGAGGCGACGAUUCUGGAGAAGGUCUCAGACCUCCUGUGGGCGUCUCGUGUUCUCCCUCGAGUGGGGCUCAACCCAGAAUUUGUGGAUUUUUGGGUGGGAAUUUCGAGUGACGUGACGGGGGCUCUGAACGGGGAGAAGGUGCGGGAAGUUCUGUGGGACACGAAGCUGCGUGUGGUGGAAAUCACGGCGACGGUGCUGAAGGCGGUAGGGUAUGGGAAUGUGAUAUUAAGUGCUGGUGAGCGUGUGCAGCUGGUAAAGGUCUGGUUGCCGUUUAUCCGCGAGACGAAGCUUGUGGUGGAAGAAAUGUUUGCAGUGGAGAAAGUGAGUAUGGAGAUGGACGUGGACUUGUGCCAGAGUAUUGAGAAUGCGCUUGUGUCGCUGGUGUUAUCGUUGCCGUCAGGAGAUCAGGCUGAAAUCCUUGCAGACUGGCUUCGCUGGGAUCACGCCAGGCAGCUACCAUUUUCCAGUAGAUGCUGAGCAUUUGGAGGAGAGGAAGUAAACAGUCUGAAGUGACAAUAUGGAUACCUCUCCACACUCUCCUCCUCAUGAAAAACGUGUUGGGCUAUAAUAUUCAGAAUAAGUUUCCAGAUUUAAGCGAAGCAUUCGAGGUCUGGUGCUUUCGAACCAAAGCCGCAAAACGGCGACUAGGCGUCGAAAAUCGCAAGGUUGGGAGUGCUAUCCGCAGUGGGUGUGCAUCUUAACCAUUUCGACCCAAAACGCUACAACAUCCGCCGCAAUAUGAUUCAUUUCUAAGGUCUUGCUUCUGCGCUCAAAGCAGCAAAUACAAGUGCUCUCAAUCUAGAUGACUGCCUUGUUUGCUUUGGCAUGUAUUAAUAGAUUCUUUUCGCGAGCAUGCGACAGAUUUUAUUCAUGUGUAGUUUGUCUAGCUUUCGUAUCUUAAUGCAAUUCGUAUUUUCGAAACAUCCCA
This is a non-coding RNA of Physcomitrium patens, 2665 nucleotides long. Lineage: Eukaryota; Viridiplantae; Streptophyta; Bryopsida; Funariales; Funariaceae. The record is from RefSeq and is a predicted model, not a curated record.